ACAAGCGGUGGAGCAUGUGGUUUAAUUCGAUGCAACGCGAAGAACCUUACCUGGUCUUGACAUCCCGGAGACCCUUAGGAACGUAGGGGUGCUUCCAUCUGGAAGAAUCUGGAGACAGGUGCUGCAUGGCUGUCGUCAGCUCGUGUCGUGAGAUGUUGGGUUAAGUCCCGCAACGAGCGCAACCCUUGCCUUUAGUUGCCAGCAGUUCGGCUGGGCACUCUAAAGGGACUGCCGGUGUUAAACCGGAGGAAGGUGGGGAUGACGUCAAGUCCUCAUGGCCUUUAUGACCAGGGCUACACACGUACUACAAUGGCCGAUACAAAGGGCAGCGACACUGCGAGGUGAAGCCAAUCCCGUAAAAUCGGUCUCAGUCCGGAUUGGAGUCUGCAACUCGACUCCAUGAAGUUGGAAUCGCUAGUAAUCGUGGAUCAGCAUGCCACGGUGAAUACGUUCCCGGGCCUU
RNAcentral lists this ribosomal RNA (462 nucleotides) under uncultured Desulfobulbus sp. RNAcentral's name for it is "bacterial SSU rRNA". It matches the Rfam family "Bacterial small subunit ribosomal RNA", at positions 925 to 1382 of the family's 1533-position model. Lineage: Bacteria; Pseudomonadati; Thermodesulfobacteriota; Desulfobulbia; Desulfobulbales; Desulfobulbaceae. The record is from RNAcentral.